RNAcentral lists this ribosomal RNA (312 nucleotides) under Triticum aestivum (bread wheat). RNAcentral describes it as "partial small subunit ribosomal RNA". Lineage: Eukaryota; Viridiplantae; Streptophyta; Magnoliopsida; Poales; Poaceae. The record is from RNAcentral.
CCUAAUUUGAUCGCCUGGAGUGCUCGGAAACAUGCUACUGUGUCACGUAGCAGUACUGAAGCUGAGUACAAGGCUGUGGCUAAUGCUACUGCAGAGAUUAUUUGGGUGCAGUCUUUGCUUCAGGGGUUGGGUUUGUCUCAACCACAGCCUCCUAUUCUUUGGUGUGAUAACAUCGGUGCUACAUACCUUUCUGCAAAUCUAGUAUUUCAUGCCCGAACGAAACACAUUGAAGUUGACUAUCACUUUGUACGGGAACGUGUAUCACAGAAGCAACUCCAGAUUAAGUUUAUCUCAUCUAAGGAUCAACUUGCA